Molecule: long non-coding RNA, 613 nt
Filed under: Populus trichocarpa (black cottonwood)
Lineage: Eukaryota; Viridiplantae; Streptophyta; Magnoliopsida; Malpighiales; Salicaceae
Description: long non-coding RNA (PTRI_LNC002845)
Source: RNAcentral
UUCAUCUUGGCCAAGCAUAUCGAGCAGGUUUUCUGAAAUUGAAAAUCAGGAAGCCAGAGAGAACAAGAGUCAAACGAAAAUUAAAAAAAAAAUAAUUCUCACAACAUUCAUUACAGUAAUCACAACAUGAGCAUACUAUAGCAAAUCAACAACCUUGUAAAUAAAUAUAGAAAAUGAAUAUAUAAUAGAUUUACAGAAAUCAGAAAAAAAAGUAAACAGGGACAAAAAUUAAGAGAUAAAGAUUAAAGAGAGGGGGGCUCCAGAGCUGCUGUUUGGUUAUUAAUCCAUGAGCUUAGUCGACUAUGCUUAAAGAAAACAAUAAAAAGAUUGAGAGAUGAAAGAUAAUGAUGGUUCGUUCACCAGAUCUAUUUUGGGAGAGGAGGGGAGGUUGUGCUUAAAGCCUUAAAGAAAGGUUGAGAGAGAUGAGAGAUGAAGAUGUUGAGGGGGCGAGGCUGUGAGAAAGGUUGAGAGAUGAGAGAUGAAGAUGGGGGGUGGAGGGGGGGUUGUGCUGAGAGAUGAAGAUCGAGAAACAUGGGCGAGAAAGGUUGAGAGUGAAGAUGGGGGUGGGGCUGCGUUGAGAGAUGAAGAUUGUGAAACAUGGGUGGCGGCUAGG